This is a long non-coding RNA of Cercocebus atys (sooty mangabey), 2849 nucleotides long. RefSeq lists it as uncharacterized. Lineage: Eukaryota; Metazoa; Chordata; Mammalia; Primates; Cercopithecidae. The transcript has 3 exons. The record is from RefSeq and is a predicted model, not a curated record.
UCAUAUACUUAUUCUUUUUUGUGGUGAGAACAUUUAAGAUCUACUCUCUUAGCCAUUUUCCAGUACAUAAUACAUUAUUCUUAACUAUAGUCACCAUGCUGUAUCAUAGAUCUCAGAACUGAGAAUAAAUCUUUUUAUCUGUGUACAUCCCUGGGCAGCAAAUGAGAAUAAGAACCCUUAAAAAAUUCAGUGUCAUGAUUGCUAGUGUUCUUUUUCUGUGUAAACUUUUCUUAGCAAGGAAUCUCUUCCUAUUAACUAAAUUCUUAACUAUUUGACAUACUUUUUAAAAAAGUCCUGUCAAAAAUGACAAUGAUUUAUUGUACAUGUUUGUUUUUUCUUCCAGGAAUAUCUUCUUGCCAACAGAACUUAGAGGAAGACACAUAUGCCUAUGCCUCCCCUGCACAAGCAGAUUUUCAUAUCAUUAGGGUCUUACAUUUAUAGAUCAGGAAACAUGUCUAUUCUAUCCCAAUCCAUGAGUUGGAGCAGAUACAAUUACAGUUCUGAGAUCCUUUUAAGAUAAGAGGCCCCUUAGUACCUAUUAGCGUACCUAUAUUCUCAAACUAUGAAUGAGAGUUAUAAAGAGUGAAAUGGAAUUGAAUUUGCUAGAAUUUGUUGUGCUCGCAGUCCUGGCUCUUGCCAGUAUAAUUUCUUAAUCAAAGUCCACAAUCUCCUUAACUAGGCUUCUUCCAUUCUUCCAGGACAAACUACUUUUUUUUGUCCCUCUCUUGCCCAGUACAAUUACCCAGUGAAGAUUCAUGGACUGAAUCUGCAGAUGUUAUUGUCUAAUAUGUUACUGUCUGAUACUCUGUAAGUGUUACUAAUAUCUUUCCAUGGCACAGUCCUAAAUAGUUUUCGUAACUGUGGUUUUGAGCCUAUGCUUUUGUCAUUAUGUGUCAGAGUUUCUUGCACAUUUUCCAGGAAGCUGCAACUGAAUCAUUUUCAGGACUUUUAUAUAACCUAGUCUAUCAUCUGUAGUCCAAGAUUAAACAAAUACUGCAUGCUCUUGUGGUCUAAGUGAUACAAGAUGCGAAAGGGUUAUAACCAAACACUCCCUAAGUAGCUUGCUGCAGCCCAGGAAUGCUUACUGAAAUUAUCCAUAAUAUGUGAUAUAGCCAAAGGAGUUUAAAAAACACCCUCUCUUCCUUUCCUUAGGGCUUGUCCUAAGUUGUCCCUUCCUUGUCGGAGCUUGCUGCAUACACAGAGGCCGAGCACCUGUCAUGUGUUAUGAAUUAUAUUACGUAUUCAGCUGUGAUCUGGAAAGCCAUGUGCUUAGACAGUGAAGCCAUUGGAUGGAUGCCUCCUGGUUUACUGAGUUCCCAAAGAGAGGACAGAUGCUCGGGAGUUGCCCAAUUGCCAUAGCACUCGUGUGAGCAAGAAAUUCAACUUUGGAAGCAUCUUUCUGCUAUCAAGUUACCUGAGAAGUGAAUUUUAAUCAGAAUGCUUGGUAAGCAUAGAGUAAAAAUUGCUCUGGGAGACUGUUUUAUAGAAACUCUAGAAAAACCCAGGGAACUGUGCCAACUCCACAACUGUAUAUACUGUUUUAAUGACCAGAUAAUGGAAUCCCCAAACACAAUUUUUUUUUUUUUAACAAUUAAAAGCAUGAGUUGUUUUGGAACAGAGACAGUGAUGAGGAGCAGAAUUGAUAAGCCAUAUGGGAUAGGCAGAAUCGCCCUCCAAAGAUGUCCAAGCCCUUAUCCCUGGAACCUGUGGGUAUGUUACUUUGCAUAUCACAGUGGACUUUGCAGAUGUAAUUAAGGUCUUGGACAUGUAUUAUCCAGGUGGGCCCAAUCUACUCACACAAGCCCUUCAAAGCAGAAUUUUCUCUGCUUUGAAGUCAUAGAGAUGCAGUGGAAUAGGAAGCAGGAGAGGGAAUCAGAGAGAUUCUAAGUGUGAGAAGGGUUUGAAGUGCUGUUGCUUGCUCUGAGAUGUGGGGGGCCACCGGCAAGGACUGAAGAGGUCUUUGGGAGCUAAGGGCAAUCCCCCGCUGAUAGCCAGCAAAGAAAGCAGGAACCUCAAUCCUACAACUCCAAGAACAAAAUGUUGCCAACAACCUGAAUUUGGAAGCAGAUUCCUCCCCAGAGCCUCCAAAAAUGAAUGUGGCUCUGCCAACACCCUGAUUUGGCCUUAUGGAACCUGGAGCAGAGGAACCAAUUGAGCCAAGAUCUGCCCAGACUUCUGACCCAUGGAUAUGGCAAGAUAAUAAACGAGUGUUGUGUUAAGCCUUUAUAUUUGUGGUAACUUGUUUCAGUAGUAAUAAAAAAUCAAAAUGCUAUAUUAAUAUGUUCAAGUUCAGUCUAAAAAAAAAUCCCAGGGGAAAAAACAAACAAACCACAGUUGUGCAUGUGCCCACCUCCCCUUUUCCCAAACAGAAUUCAAGAGACAAGGACAGUGAAAUACCAGAUAGGUCGUUCAAGCACCAACUGUUAUCUGUAAGAUAUAAUGAAAAGUAAACAUCUGGUUCUUUGCAUAAUUUUGAUCAAAGGAGCAUAUUAUGUGUUGUGUACAUUUGGAGGAAAACCAACUGCAUUAGGAUUUUCAUCAGGGAAGAACUGUACAGGUGUCAAACGGGUCUGGGACACUGAGCCACUACUCCACACUUCACGUUAUCGUGAUCAAGGAGAGAGAUUGCACAUCUAACUUGAGUGAGGGAGUGAGCAGUCAUCGAGCGCCCAAUAGAAGGUCCAGGCUUCCUCAGUUGACAUACUGGGUGGAAAAUAUGAUGGAAUCAAAAGAAAGAGGAAAGAGAGGAGGAUUUUCUUCUGGGCCCUCUUUUUAUGCUCAUCACUCACCUGCAGUUGACUCAUGUCUGCUGGCUGCUGCUCAGGCCAGUGUUCCUGUAGUGCUCUUAU